Molecule: long non-coding RNA, 11183 nt
Organism: Numida meleagris (helmeted guineafowl)
Lineage: Eukaryota; Metazoa; Chordata; Aves; Galliformes; Numididae
Exons: 17
Source: RefSeq, a predicted model, not a curated record
CGGGUGGCCGUUAGCUGCGCGGAGCCGAGCGUUCUCGUUCGCUCCGGGCUGCCCGCAAGCCUCUCUCUUACAAAGGUCUUCUGGAGGACUUCUUAGCCUAUGAACUUUCAAGCAGUAUGAACAGUGAGGAUUGCACAAUUACCAAAUAUCCAUACAAGGCAUAGCAAGAGGCUCAUACAGCUAUCACUCCAUUUAGAGCAACAAAAUGAAGAGGAACAGCUUUUCCUGCUCGUAUGGAACAUGGCUGGGUAAGAUGGUGGCGAGAGAACAGUGGAAGAAGCGAGGACAGAACCUCUACAGAUGGACAAAGUGACAAAGUAAGGACGAUAUCAUGGAACUGCUGCCAGCUUUUGGAAUGAAGCUUGUGCCAAACUCUUUGUGUAGUUGCUGAUUUUUACAUGAUGGAUGUGGAAACACCUGGUUUUACCAGAGGUGGCUUUGCUGAAGAUGCCUUGCAGGACUGCAGAAGGGGAAUCCUCGCUCUUCUUCAGCUCCAGUCUAUCACGUCUGGUACAGCUGAAACCAUACCAAAGGAAAGACACGUCCAGCACCCUGUCUUGGGAGGAGGCUGAUGGGCGGCAUGGUCAUGAAAUGGUUGCUGGCAGACCCCUGUGCUUGUGAACACUACGGCUCUGAACACAUGGAUGUCACAUCUUGGCUACUUCUGGGAGGUCCCAAAGUCUUCAGGUACUACAGCACUUCUGCUGAUUUUGAGGAAGUUCAAAAGCCCCCUGAGCCCAGGGCUGCGUGCUACACCAAAGUGUUCAAUCCUGCAUUUGAAUAAGCUGAAUCAAGCCAGCCAUACUGCUAAACAUAUGCAGGGAGACUUCCUACAUAAAUGAACAUUGCCCUGAAGCACUCGCAGUCCAGUUGUUACUGUCUUGUGUUAAUGGAGAAGGACCCCAAAGUGAAUGGAGUAUAAGUGGUGGAACUGAGCUCUGCUGCUGUUGAAGCACAGCCCAGCCAGGUUACCUAUUGAGGGCUCUGCCUGCCCUUACCCUUAACCACCUGCUGUGAAUCAGCUGGUGCACUCAGGGGCAGAGGUGCGAUGGUGUGAAUGUGAAGGAAAAACUCCACGUCCCUGAAGGGGAACCAAGCCACGGAGCUAGCUGGGACCGGAGGAGUCUGGGAAGCGCGGUUCAUCACAAGAGCUUGCUGGAGAGCAGGAAGGCAUUAACAUGUAAGUGCUACUCUUAAGUGGCCAGAAUAUAGCGAUUAAAGUGCUCUUGCUGUGUGAUCUUGGGCUUCUUGCUCUUUCUGUUCCUUAAUUAAUUUCCUCUUUCAUUUCUGUAUUAAUAAAAACAAAUCACCUGCUUCCUGGGAGGCGGGGGGUUUUAUUCAUUCAUGUUUGCAAACAGCUUGGAGAACUGAGGAAGGGAGGAAGAGGCUGCAGAACUGUGAAGCCUGUAUGCAGUGCGUGAAAGAUAUAUGACAAGAUUUUAUUCCUGGGCAGUCUGAUAAAUUGACAUGUUUGUAAGGCUUUUUCCUUUUUUUGCCUUAUUUCUUUUUCUGACACUGUCAAAUAAGACACAACUUUUGUCUUCAGUGUGAUAUGUAGAUGAAUGGCUACACUUCAAUUUUGGAUCAGUCAGUACCUUUGUUUCAGGCUUCUUUCUUACAUGGGUGUUUAUGAGGAAGAACACUGGUCAGUGACCGCAGCGUUGUCUGUCAGCAGGUCAUACGUUUAAAACUGUGCUGCAAUUAAAAAUUGUUCCAUUAUUCCAUUUUUAUGGAACAAACAUGGAUUUAUUUCUUGGAGUGAAGUUCUGCGUUCUUCUGUUUCCAGUAAGAUAGCUGCUGCAGAGCUUAUCCUGCAUGAGACCAAGAUGUACAGAUAGGGAGUUUCCUGAUAGAUAUGUAGAGUCAGUUGACCACUGCAAUCAGAAAUCAUAUGUUGCACUCAAAUUCUUAUUUUUAAUGUGAAAAUGUAUUUUUAACUAUGUAGAAAAUAUAUAUAAAAUGUAUUUUUUACAUGUUUUUAACUAUGAAAAUGAACUUGAUCAAGAUCUUGCAGCCUAGAGAGCUAACAGGCAGCAACUGGCCAGAUGCUUCCUAUGCGUUGUCUGAAGUUUUGUCUGGUAUUCAGUGAAGGCUGACACACACACUUGAGAGGAAGACAUCUGCUAUCAGUGGAUAGCACUGACAUCUUCUCUCCUGGUGAGUAAUGCAAACAAAAAUGACAUUCCUUCCUCCCUGUACAAACCAGUCCCAGGAUGGAAGCAACACUAAAAGCCAGCAUCUCUCCUCUUGUAAUGUCUAAUAGCAAUGUCUAAUUCUGGAUGUUCAAAGCUAUUUCCCUUAAGGUUACCCUGUGAUGUGGAACAUGUUUUGCACAGGCGAUGCUAUACGAGAGCAGCUCGGCACACUUCAGUAUGCGGCGAGUUCCUUGGUCAGGGUUCCCCUUGGAGUUCCUCAGCAGGCUUUAAGGAUGUGUCAUCCUUUGAGUCAUCUAUUACCUUUAAAGCAGCAUUCCUCAUUGAAAGCUGUUUUGUUUUCAACUCUUAAAACUUUACACGGAGCACUGCAUUUCACAGUCCUGUGAUACACACUCUGAAGGGGGAGUGGGGCUGAGGCAAGAAGAUGAGAGCUGCCUUUGGGACUGCAUGGGUCUGUCUAUGGUGUGCAGGUUCACACCUUGUCUGUGGUAUGCCCUUUUCAUCAGCAAAUUUUUCUAUGUCCUUCCCCAGUUUGCUUCUCCCAAGGAUUUUUAGAUGCAGUCGCUGCCCUCUCAGACAAAUGGGAGCUUAAAUUACUCCUGGGUGUUUGCAGUUUGCCUCUUUUAAAUCCCUCUUCUGAUGAUCCCAUUUCCCACCUUGGACUGAAGCUCCGUGUCCUGAUCUUCUGUCCCUCUUGUGUACUGGGGCUUUGUGUUUCCCUCGUGCUUCACCUGGGCUCCCCGUGGGGUGGAAACCUUCAAGAGGGCAGGGAGAUGAGGAACCAUCUGCCUUCACAGGAUGGCAGCUCAUUCUGGGGGAGAUUUCCAUGUUGUUUCCUCAGCAGCUGCCAUUGAAAUCUUGAUGGAGGCUGCCAGGACCAAGUCCCUGGGUAUCCCAAAGUGGUGGGGCCAUCAGAGCCCAGGUCUGGUGAAUGCUUUGUGUAAAGACCCCCUGCUGAUAAGGCCAUCCAUACAGUUCCAGAAAUUCUGAGCUAAUUGCACAAGAGGUGAAGCUCCUGUAUGGCAAUGAUCGAUUUGGCUUCAAGCCCUGCGGAGCAGACAGCAGCUGAUGAAAACCAAAGCCCAGGCAUGUGAUUGCAGAUCCUUAAUCCAGCUAAAAUACCAUGAUGCUUGACCUCAUUAGAAAAAAGGCCACGAAACAUCUCUCUCUGGGUUGUUCCUUGCUGUGUCCAGUGAUAUACUGGGAGUUUGGCCAAGUAUUCCUCUCUCUCUGGUGAAAGGCUGUGCUUUCCUCUCUGCCUUGGAAAUACUCAGACUCAGAAUGAACUCCAGGACUGACUAUUUGAGGUCUCUGUAUUGAUAACUUGCAUUAAAAUUCAUCUAUGGGGAGGUGAGAAAAUGCCAUCAUUUCCAUAUGUGUGGCUUAAUUUUCUGUACUGGUUGCCUGCACCCUGUGGGUAGUGGAUGAAGUGGUCCUACAGGGUGACUUGGUUUUUACAGAGAGUUCUCUGUAUCCCAGCACUCUUCUUUCUCUUGCCCUUCUCAGUUCAGCACAGGUCCCAGCAGAGCAGAGUAAUCUUGCCUUUCAUAGCUGCACUGCAGGCAGGGGACGGGGUAAAGGGGGUUUGGUUGGCAUUUGCAGACUAGAGAUGACUGAUAUUUCCCUGUAGCUGGUAAUACUGCCUCUUGAUUCACCAAGGAGCAUUAGAGCAGCUUGGUGAAAACCAGCCGAGCGUCAUCAGUGAUUUGUUGUGGUCAUUAGCACAGCAUGCAGUCCUGCAGCCGUGGGCUCCUGAUGGAAUGCAGCAUUGUGGGGUGCUGCCUGUAGGGAUCUGGGGCUGCCUGAGGCACCCACCUGCAGUGGCUCUGUCUGCACCGAUCACUGUUAAAUGUCAAUAAGAGCCUAUGAGGGAGAGACCAGAGGAAAUGGAAAUGGCAGCUCAGUGGGCAGUGACAGAUAGCGCGCUGGGGCACACUGGAGAAUGACUGAUUUAUUUAGGGCUCAGUUCAGUAAAGAUUCAGUGGGAUGGAGCUUUGGCUUAGCGUGGGAUGGGGGAGAUGCUAGGAAUCCAGUACUCCAAGCCUUUCCCAGCACAGCACUUUGGCAUUUAAUUAUUCCCUUGUAUAGUAUCAGGGCUAGCCCCUUUGCCUCGCUACCAAGCUCAGGUGCUGUGAGAUUUUCAGGUGCUGCAGCAACACAGAGGGGAGUUUGGGACACGGGGUUUGGGGGUUCUGGACUCAACCCAACCUCAUGGUAGUGAUGCUGGGGAGAUGCAAGCCUGCAAGUGUAAGCUCUGCUUACUUUUCCAACUUUUGCUGGCAGCAGCAGGGGUGGGGUGGUGCUGGGGCAAUCUGACCUAGGGCCUGUACCUCAUUACUAAUCUUGGGAACCUCUCUUGCCCCACCGCUAAUCGAGACAGUAAGACGCAAGCCGACCACACCCUGCAAACCUCUGCUGUGAUGUAGCCCAAACUCCAUGCCUAACCUUUGCUAUGCAUCUUCUGCAUCCAGAAUGCAUGUCUGCUGUGGUCCAACAUGGUGAGCUGGAUGUGGCCAGUGAGCAGCCAGCAUGUGGGAACCGCAGCCCAGCAGGUGUGUAGGUACUGCAUAGCCCUGUGGGGAAGAGCGGGGCUGGGACACAGAGGGGACAUGCUCAGCCUCCAUCCGUCUGUGUGCAGAUGGUUUUCUUCUGCUCUGUUCUUUUCUGAGCAGCAAACUGGCAGAGAGCAGGGGCUGAGCAUGCUGCUGGGCUGCCCUGUGAGGCUCCGGAGACAUCUGAUGAGAUGCAUUGUUUUUUCCAAGUUUUUCUCACUCCUGUGUUCUUUCUUCCCCUUUGUAUUUGUAUCUAGUGGCUGCUAUCAGUGAUUUUGAAGGAACUCUUGUUCUGGACUGAAUAUGCAGAAGCAAAUCCCAACAGCACACACAGGCAACAUUCCUGUAUUACACCCCCAUCAUCAAGCCCAGAUGCUCUGGUGGAGUGCAGAUGUCCCCCAGAGGUCCAGUCAAAUGCACUGAAGUGACAGAGAAUCUGCUGCAUCCUCAGCCAUGAUAACCAACAGAUACAUGAGCUGCCUGGCAGAGGAGCAGGCAGAGCUCUCCCAGGACUGCCCACAAUGUCUGUGUUCCUUGACGGGUCAUCGAGGUUUGGGUUCUGGUUAGCCCUCUUCAAGCAACUCCUGCGGCUGCAGAAAGAAGCAAUCUGAGUCCAGCCAAGGUUUUCCUUAAAUACCAACCCUGCUAUGUGGGAGGCUCUGAAUCAAGUAAGAUAGAUGAUUUUAAUUUCCAUGUUCUCAGUGUAACACUUGGGGUCAAUGUUUGCAUACUUAUCAUAGGCAGUUUACAAUUGACAACCACUGUAAUUGUUCAACUUUUCUUUGGUGAAGACCUGAAUGACUAUUAUGCACUGUAUUUAUUAUGCCACACGCUAAAAUAUAGAUGAUUGAUUAUUCCAUUACUCUAUUGACCAAGGCUGUAACAAGGUGUGACAAAUACGCGCCAUUAAGGUCCAGAACCAAGUGAAGAAGGUAGCGCAGCCAAGCAGGAGAAUCGUAACGCGUGCCAUACAGGAGAGCUUCAGCAGACUCUCAGGACGGUGUGUUUAAAAGACUUUAUCUGAAUGAAUGCUCUUCAUUUCUGCUAGGCACUUCCUGAGCAUAAAAAAAAGGAUAACAGGUCCUCAUCUGAAAAGCUUAGGGUAUGAUUGAGAGCCCACUGGAGCCAGAGGAAAUUCUUCCGAUGACUUAUUGGGCUUUGGCAGGGUCCUGAGGGUAAUCUCUGUGUUUACCUCACUGAGAGUUGUGUCAGAACCUGAAAAAAUCACCAUUCGUUAACAACAUUAAAAUGUGCAGGAAAAAAAGUGUCUGCCAUCACUGAUACAGUGCAUUAACGUGAGCUAUGUGCACGUAUCACGGGGACUCACAGUUGCGAUGUGAAAAAUCCCAUCUUUUAAAGCUCUUUGUCUUCAGCUUGGUAUUUGAAAUGUGUAAUUUAAUUAUCUUUGAACUCCUUUGUUCCUCCUUAAAACAAAUCAUGUUCAGUUUUCUUUUUAAAUAUCAUGCAGUGAUGGACACAGCACAAGGGAUCAUGGUAACAAAAUGGUGUUGAACAGCUACUGGAAAUUAGUAGUAAUAAACAAUGCAUUUGCUACCAGCCUGUCACAUUAAUUAGUCUUCAGAAUGUGUCAGUGCUUUUCAUUUGCAUUUAACGUUGCCUGAGCUUACUGCCAAUUAAAUACAAUGUUGUUAUCAAAUCAGCUUGCACGUGAUUACACUGGAUUAAUGUGGUUAUUUUCUUUGAUCCACUAUAAUUAAAAAUCACAGUAGUGAUUUUAAACUAGUGUAAAAAAUGUAAUCAGACUACAUACACAGCUCCCUUUUUCUUCUAAUUUACUUUAAUAAUACUCACCUCUAAUUAACAGUUCCUGUUAAUUAAAGAAAGAGUCCUUUGCCCUGUUUAGGAGGGGAACUCCUUGGAGCUUGGAGGGGAACACUGCAUUUUGCAAGAGCUGGGGGCUAGCCCCACAUGUACCUGCACUGUCUUUGCCCUCUGAUUGUUACCAAACAGGAUCAGUACUCAAAUUCUAGGGGAGAAAAAUGGGCAGCCACAACCAUCUUCUGCUGAGAAGAUCCGACCAGCUGAGUGUCAGCCCUGGAGCCCUAUUCUGCCCAGCCCAGCUUCUCAGGAUCCAGCUUUUCACUGAGCACUUGGUUUUGGGUCCUGCCUGUCAGCAGCGGUAAGGAGCAGGCAAAAUGCCACAGCCCCAAACAGAAGGAUGCCUGCUUCUCUGCUGCUGACAGACAGGACCCAGACAGCAGAGAGGCUGGAGGAGGCUGCUUUUCUGCUGGAGCAGAGAGAAGUAAUUAGUCAAAUCACUGCAGCGCGGAGAGGGACGCUGGCCCAUCUCCCAUCAGACAGCAAAUGACUCAUUGCAUGACAACUUCAGUAAAGGGAUAUUGUUGGGUUGGUUUUUUGUUGUUGUUGUUGUUGUUCUUCUUCUCUGUUCCCCUGUUCCACUUUAGCAGGAAAACAAAGAGCUGAAUUUUCCAAAAGGCCACCAGGGCUCUUGUGUGGGAGCUUAGCCUCCCAGGUCUCCUAAGGCCACUGAGAAAGUCACUCUUGGAAUAAAUGUCAUCUACCCACAUAGGGGUGGAGACAAAAAGCAUGGCUGCCCCUUCCAGGUGUGGUGACCUGGAGAGCAGAAAGGAAGGAGCCUUCAUCAGAAGUCCUCCACAGGUUCUGAGACAUGCAAUGGUGGUGAAGAGGAAAGCCCUGGAUGGAUGUAUUUAUACAAUGUGUGGACGUAGCUGUGCUGGAUCCUGCAGGAAAAAGGCAGCCCUGGCAGCUCACCACCUCUGCACACCAACACACCAGCCACAGGAGUAGCUCACAGCUGUGGAGCACUGCUGGAUGGAAGAGUAAGAAGAAACCAAUGGAGACGUGCCUUCGUACUCGCUGCAUCAUGUCGAAGUAAGGGAGGUCAAGCUUGUGAAACAUGCUUGAAAAACUGAUGCACCAAAGGGAUACUUCAGUCUUCCUGAAUGUGACCACAAGCCCUUUGCAUAGCACUUCAAUUUCAGAGAUGUACUGGAGGUUUUCUCACAAUCUUGGUUCCACCCAGCAGCUGCAUGAGGUAGGCUCACAUUUAACAGAAUCUUCUGUUGUGGACAAAGGACCCUCCCUUCCUCCCCCCCUCCCUUCCUUCCCUGCCUCAGCCCCUCCCCCUCUUCUUUCCCUUCCUCCUCCUACCCACCCUCUUUCUUGCCUGCCUGUUUUCCUUCCCUCCCUUCCUCCGUUACACACACUUACCCCCUGCUUACUUGGUCCUGAGGGGUCCCUGGUGAAGAGCAGGUAUGGUGUUGACAUCACACUGGGCUCAGCUCCUUCUUGUCCUCAACUGCAAUGAGACUCCUCACAGUUGUUCUUGCUAUGCUUCUUUUCUGAGGAAUACUAAUUCCUCAUUCUGUGUUAUUUUCUACUAUGUCUCUAUUUCCCCCCCAUCCAUCUUAAGAGUGCCAAUGAUUACUAUCACAUUGCUCUGCUGUGUCUAUAUAAUUAGAGCAGUUGGCUCAAGUAAUUACUUUUUGCUUCCUUCAGUUCACUCCUCUACUCUGCACUAGCUUUUCUUCAUUUCAGCCUCUUUGGAGAAAGAUUUCAAAGCAGGGUGUGUGGCUUUUAACUCCCUACAGCCCAUUGAAUCGGAGGCCACCGGCUGCUAAACUCUCUGAAACCUCUGAGUUUGCUAAAAAUGCUGAAGCAGACUUCUCUCUCCUGCUCUCUUAUCCAUGGUCAAAGCGUGACCCUGCAGGACAGACUAUUUUGGAACAUUUGGAACAGUGAGCACACUGUGCUGCCAGGCACGCAAGGCACUGCCUGACUCUGGCUUGGACCUGACCCUAAAAUCCCCCAGUGCUCAAGUAAACCCUGCACCUUACAUCCCUUCUGGGUGGCUCUUAUGGAAGGACUUGGCACGCACAAGGGACACAGAAGAUUUGGCUGUAGCAUCUCCACAAUUCAAGAAGUGACAUCGAACUUCAACUUGGAUAUCUCCAACAAUUUGGGUAGUGAUUCAGCAAUGGCUACUCAACCCACCAAAGAGGGAUCAACACCAGCAUAUGCAGCAGGAAAAGAAUCAGGAGCUUCUUGCCUUGUUCAAGUGUUUCUUAAGAAAGUCAUCUAAAAGUCCUUAUUGAUCAGAUAAUCUAUAAAUACAGAUAAAAAAGUGUGCCUGCGCCUAAUCAAGUCACGCAGGAGUUGUGACAGUUGGUGAAGGACUUGUGAUAAGUGUAAGGGCAGCAAGAAAGGCUCAGAGACACUGCUCAGUCUGUCCAGGCUGAUCUAGCUGAGCUGGGAUUCCUUGAACAUAACACUUAAGUAGAAAAAUAAUGCAUGAGGCCUUACAAAUUGCCAUCUGUUGGCUCCAGAACACACACAUUCAGCUCUUUCUGACUUUCCCUGUGCUGCAUGAAAAAGCUCAAGUCAAAUAGUGUCCAGGUAAACUUAUAAAUGGCAAAAUAAAUCCUUUGUAGGUGAAAAACAAAAAUAGCUUUGAAGGAGAACGCAUAUAACCUUGCUAAUUUGCCAAGGGUUUUCAAUCUUCAUCAUUUUAGAAGCAAGGUUAAGACAGUAAGUAAAGGUUGAGAAAGUCAGAAGAUGCUCAGAUAUACCUAUAUCAGAGGUUCGGAGUUUUAAACCUCAGAAGCAAAACAAUGUCAGGGAGAACAGAUUGACAGUGAUGCCUUGCAUUGGGAACCAAGGGUUAGAAGGACUGUUUGUACCAAGUAAAAUACACUCAUGAUAAUGAUACUGCUGAGAUUUAAUUUACCAGCCUGUUCUAGGAAAGGUAAUGACCUUAAUAUCUCAGAGAACUUAUCAAGAGGUCAUCCAUGCAGAGACACACUGAUUUAUUUUCAUAAUAAAUGGAAAUAGAAGUCUUGUUGCAUGUAUAAAUUCAUUCCUGCAAGCCAAUUCCAUCUAGAAAGCUUUGUGGUUAGUAUCAGGAUAUCCUAAGAACAUAUUAUUGAUAUGUGGGUGUCUAAUUCCAACCCCCUUGAGAACCUCCCCAUAAAUGUACUUCAAAUUCAUUUCUAAACAAACCAAAAAAACCACCUAAAUCCCAGACCUACCCACCAUAUAAUGGGGAACAUCACCACACUGGAAAAGAGAUAUGCUAUUUUAUUCUAAGUACUAUUCAUCUGCCUCUGCACCAUGGAUGAGGCUCUACACAAUGCCUCUGUUGGUAGAGAAGACCACCUGCAUAUGCAUUACCCAAGGAUAUGGUCUUUCUGCCUGAGUCGCACAUUUUUGAGAUACAGAGAAGUGGGUAUAUACAAACAAACCCCACAGUCACAGUAGAAACUUGACUGUGUAGCCCAAACCCUAUUUCUGGCCCUCGAUGUCACUGUGUCCCCAGCUGGAUCAGUCCCAGGUGCUGAGGACAAUCUUCCCCUGCUCAUGGGGAUGACAUGCGUUACACAGCUUUCUCUGUGCCAGCCCACAGAGGUGCUGGCAUGGUUAAUUUGUCUGGAGAAGCUGGUGUUUUUGCUGCAGUCAUCACACAAGUGAAAAACAGCAAGGAGAGAGUCCAAAAAACCAGUUGAAAUGGAGAAGACAGAAUGGCAGAGAAGAUAAAGUUGUCACGCACAGGUGCCACGUGUAUGCCAUGUCAUUUAGCUCAAGAUUUUUCAAGCUGGGCUGCAAGCAGUGAGUCACAGGCAGAGAGAAGGGAUAUUUAUGGGAUUUUAGUUCUUCCGAGGAAAAAAUAUGAAAGUCAGAAAUGACAGAGAAAUGAGAGUGCUGGAUGGUGGCAAACAACAUAUGGGGAACAAGGGAGAGGGAGCUUUUGGCAUCACUGCCACAGCAUACAUCCCAGCGUAACUCAUAGCGUACCCCGGGGGCCAGUUCAUUUCUAUGGAAAGAAUCUGACUUCUGGGACUCCAGGUACAAAAUGAAAACCUUUCUGUUUCUAGAGCACCAAUGUUAGUCUUUGCCAAGUGUUUCCUUUUUUCUAUUCCUCCCUACACAUAUUUCUUUUCCUUAAGGCCACAGGAAUUUAGCAGAACAGGCUGUUUUCCAGCAGGCUUAAUUUUGAACGUUGGAUUGAUCAGAUGAUUUAAGAUGUGCAGGAGGAAGUAAGCAAGCAUUUGCACAUACCACUCUACAGCCUGAAUUCUGCUGGGAUCUUUAACGUGUAGGUGCAUGUGUGUAUCUGGCUGUACACAAGCACAGCUGUUUUUAACUCAGUGCCCAGGUAUCGUGGUGGCUGUUUUCUGUUCGAAAAGCAGGAGAUGUUAGGACAAGCAUUUGUCUGGUGUAUCUACUGAUGGUUCUGACUUCCAGGUGUGUUAUUCUUUUGCCCUCUGGGAACUAAAAGCUCUAAGAUGGUGCUUACUUGUUCAAGAAGGAGGACGUCAUUUUAGCCACUGUUGGAGCACUGUGUCCAUUUUGAAACAACACAAACCUAAGAGCUCUCAUUUCUUUUGUUCCAUUCCACACAGUCCUGUGUGUCCUUCAGAUACCUACAGAGGACUGAACAGUUCUGGGUGUUGCAGGAGUAAGUCUGAAUGUUGAC